GCAACCACGGUAGGGUCAGCGACUGGGGUGAAGUCGUAACAAGGUAGCCGUAGGGGAACCUGUGGCUGGAUCACCU
RNAcentral lists this ribosomal RNA (76 nucleotides) under Bartonella vinsonii. Its description in RNAcentral is "partial 16S rRNA". It matches the Rfam family "Bacterial small subunit ribosomal RNA", at positions 1453 to 1528 of the family's 1533-position model. The record is from RNAcentral. Lineage: Bacteria; Pseudomonadati; Pseudomonadota; Alphaproteobacteria; Hyphomicrobiales; Bartonellaceae.